This 1439-nucleotide ribosomal RNA is filed under the name uncultured organism. Its description in RNAcentral is "16S ribosomal RNA". It matches the Rfam family "Bacterial small subunit ribosomal RNA". The record is from RNAcentral.
CAGGCUUAACACAUGCAAGUCGAGGGGCAGCAUGGUCUUAGCUUGCUAAGGCCGAUGGCGACCGGCGCACGGGUGAGUAACACGUAUCCAACCUGCCGUCUACUCUUGGACAGCCUUCUGAAAGGAAGAUUAAUACAAGAUGGCAUCAUGAGUCCGCAUGUUCACAUGAUUAAAGGUAUUCCGGUAGACGAUGGGGAUGCGUUCCAUUAGAUAGUAGGCGGGGUAACGGCCCACCUAGUCUUCGAUGGAUAGGGGUUCUGAGAGGAAGGUCCCCCACAUUGGAACUGAGACACGGUCCAAACUCCUACGGGAGGCAGCAGUGAGGAAUAUUGGUCAAUGGGCGAGAGCCUGAACCAGCCAAGUAGCGUGAAGGAUGACUGCCCUAUGGGUUGUAAACUUCUUUUAUAAAGGAAUAAAGUCGGGUAUGGAUACCCGUUUGCAUGUACUUUAUGAAUAAGGAUCGGCUAACUCCGUGCCAGCAGCCGCGGUAAUACGGAGGAUCCGAGCGUUAUCCGGAUUUAUUGGGUUUAAAGGGAGCGUAGAUGGAUGUUUAAGUCAGUUGUGAAAGUUUGCGGCUCAACCGUAAAAUUGCAGUUGAUACUGGAUAUCUUGAGUGCAGUUGAGGCAGGCGGAAUUCGUGGUGUAGCGGUGAAAUGCUUAGAUAUCACGAAGAACUCCGAUUGCGAAGGCAGCCUGCUAAGCUGCAACUGACAUUGAGGCUCGAAAGUGUGGGUAUCAAACAGGAUUAGAUACCCUGGUAGUCCACACGGUAAACGAUGAAUACUCGCUGUUUGCGAUAUACUGCAAGCGGCCAAGCGAAAGCGUUAAGUAUUCCACCUGGGGAGUACGCCGGCAACGGUGAAACUCAAAGGAAUUGACGGGGGCCCGCACAAGCGGAGGAACAUGUGGUUUAAUUCGAUGAUACGCGAGGAACCUUACCCGGGCUUAAAUUGCAGAUGAAUUACGGUGAAAGCCGUAAGCCGCAAGGCAUCUGUGAAGGUGCUGCAUGGUUGUCGUCAGCUCGUGCCGUGAGGUGUCGGCUUAAGUGCCAUAACGAGCGCAACCCUUGUUGUCAGUUACUAACAGGUUCCGCUGAGGACUCUGACAAGACUGCCAUCGUAAGAUGUGAGGAAGGCGGGGAUGACGUCAAAUCAGCACGGCCCUUACGUCCGGGGCUACACACGUGUUACAAUGGGGGGUACAGAGGGCCGCUACCACGCGAGUGGAUGCCAAUCCCCAAAACCUCUCUCAGUUCGGACUGGAGUCUGCAACCCGACUCCACGAAGCUGGAUUCGCUAGUAAUCGCGCAUCAGCCACGGCGCGGUGAAUACGUUCCCGGGCCUUGUACACACCGCCCGUCAAGCCAUGGGAGCCGGGGGUACCUGAAGUGCGUAACCGCGAGGAGCGCCCUAGGGUAAAACUGGUGACUGGGGCUAAGU